CAUUCAAGUUGAGGUUAGUAAUUUAAGUUGAAAAUUUUAGUUUAUUAUUUUAGUUUAGCUCAAUUAACCUAGAACUCAACUUAAAAAUCAAAAGAAAACACGGAUUGAUUGGGAUUUUGGCCAGCCAAAGGUGGAGUUAGAAUUGAAUGAAUUUGAUGCAUUUGAAUGGUUAUUUAACUUGAAUUAUGUAUGUAGACUAUGG
Molecule: unclassified non-coding RNA, 202 nt
Filed under: Hevea brasiliensis (rubber tree)
Lineage: Eukaryota; Viridiplantae; Streptophyta; Magnoliopsida; Malpighiales; Euphorbiaceae
Source: RNAcentral